This 441-nucleotide ribosomal RNA is filed under the name uncultured bacterium. RNAcentral's name for it is "partial 16S ribosomal RNA". It matches the Rfam family "Bacterial small subunit ribosomal RNA", at positions 338 to 795 of the family's 1533-position model. The record is from RNAcentral.
CCUACGGGAGGCAGCAGUGGGGAAUAUUGCACAAUGGGGGGAACCCUGAUGCAGCGACGCCGCGUGGGUGAAGGAGUAUUUCGGUAUGUAAAGCCCUAUCAGCAGGGAAGAACAAUGACGGUACCUGACUAAGAAGCACCGGCUAAAUACGUGCCAGCAGCCGCGGUAAUACGUAUGGUGCAAGCGUUAUCCGGAUUUACUGGGUGUAAAGGGAGCGCAGGCGGCGCGUUAAGCCUGGUGUGAAAGUCCGCGGCCCAACCGCGGGACUGCAUUGGGAACUGGCGCGCUGGAGUGCCGUAGGGGUAGGCGGAAUUCCUAGUGUAGCGGUGAAAUGCGUAGAUAUUAGGAGGAACACCAGUGGCGAAGGCGGCCUACUGGACGGUGACUGACGCUGAGGCUCGAAAGCGUGGGGAGCAAACAGGAUUAGAUACCAUUGUAGUC